RNAcentral lists this long non-coding RNA (1234 nucleotides) under Manacus vitellinus (golden-collared manakin). RNAcentral's name for it is "lncRNA (ENSMVIG00005015005.1)". The record is from RNAcentral. Lineage: Eukaryota; Metazoa; Chordata; Aves; Passeriformes; Pipridae.
AGUGCCAUUAGAAACUGUGAAUUUCCAAAUAAAUCUGAACACUUUGUCUUUCAUUUACUGGCAUUUUUCCUUUGAAAAUGAAACUUGUGGCUUAAAUUGUCUGAGAAGGACUGUUCUUUAAUUUUCAGUCUAGGACUAGGACUGGAGUCCUUCAACCCUAGUAAGAAGUUCAUAAACUCAGCCUAGAUGUGUUUGUCUAUCUAAAGAAAGAAAGGGGGGAGGUGAAUUCUGAAGGCCAAGCUUUGCUUUGUCUGAAAGUUCAGGAAUUGUGGCCCUGUGAAACUGCUGGAUAAGUUUCCAGCAGGUCAGUUCACACCUUGCCCAGGGGGAUCCCUGGGCGUGGUGGCUUUCUGUGAGAACAACUGCAUGAAAUGACCUCUUGAUACUCAGAGCUAAGGUUUGUGAAAGAUAUAAAAGGCCCUGAAAGGAAAAGGUUAGGGAGUCAUUUAUUAUUUCAAACCAGAGUUUUCAGCUUGGUUUGCCUCUUACUGGUCCUUCCCUCCUAACUUAAGCACUGUGUGCAGCCAAAUGCUGAAUUCACAGGCUCUUCAGCAUUGAUUUUUUCACUUGAGUGUCUCAAGACUCUCUGCUUCAUCAUAGCACUGUUAUUUAAAAAGCAAUUUAGUGUGGGUUUUGCUGGGGAGGGGGGAUUGGAUGGGGAGAGUGGCUGUUUUUUUGGGGGGAAGGUGUGGGCUUCUUUUAUUUACUCCUUUCUCUUGAUAUGUCACUUGUAGGAAACUGUGUACCUUCAUUGCCCAGGCAACCACUGGGCUCUUCUCUUCAGUAAGAAUCACCUGAAACUGGACAUGUCUGAAUUCUUAAAACAGCCCAUCUUUACUCUCUGCUAUGAACCAAAGACUGACAGUGGGAUGGUGUCUGUGACCAUGUUCUGUGACUCAGGAUCCAUGCCCUGUGAAGCAGCCAAGGAGAAGGUCGGAUGCAAAACGGACAGUGGUAAGGAAUUUUCCUGUGUGAAAUGAAGUGACUCCCCAGCACUGACAGCUGCACUUGGCAUUGGUUCCUCAUCCUUCUGCUGAGGGCAGAAGUCAUCAGCUCUACCUCUGCCCUCUGCCAGAGGUUUUGUCGUUCCCUUUGCACUGCUUGUGGUCUAGGACACCUCAGCGGAAAAGCAGCUGCCUCUGUCUGAGUGGGCUGCUGGAAAGAGUGGCUGGUGGUGGGUAUGAGCUAUCACUCAGCCCCGGACUGGCAGCGCAGCCCUCGUACCUCCAGCCCG